AACGAACGCUGGCGGCAUGCCUAACACAUGCAAGUCGAACGAGACCUUCGGGUCUAGUGGCGCACGUGUGCGUAACGCGUGGGAACCUGCCCUUAGGUUCGGAAUAACUCCCCGAAAGGGGUGCUAAUACCGGAUAAUGUCUUCGGACCAAAGAUUUAUCGCCUUUGGAUGGGCCCGCGUUGGAUUAGCUAGUUGGUAGGGUAAAAGCCUACCACGGCGACGAUCCAUAGCUGGUCUGAGAGGAUGAUCAGCCACACUGGGACUGCGACACGGCCCAGACUGCUACGGGAGGCAGCAGUGGGGAAUAUUGGACAGUGGGCGAAAGCCUGAUCCAGCAAUGCCGCGUGAGUGAUGACGGCCUUAGGGUUGUAAAGCUCUUUUACCCGGGAUGAUAAUGACAGUACCGGGAGAAUAAGCUCCGGCUAACUCCGU
Molecule: ribosomal RNA, 432 nt
Filed under: uncultured bacterium
Lineage: Bacteria
Description: partial 16S ribosomal RNA
Rfam family: Bacterial small subunit ribosomal RNA
Source: RNAcentral